Pelobates cultripes (western spadefoot toad) is the source of this 297-nucleotide non-coding RNA. The record is from the annotation of a GenBank genome assembly. NCBI's taxonomy places the organism in Eukaryota, Metazoa, Chordata, Amphibia, Anura, Pelobatidae.
GACAAAAUGAAAUGUUCUAUUCAUAAAAGAACCUUGGAACAGACCACGAGACUGACAUCACUAACUACGUAAAAUGACGCCCAAGCCCCCCUUUCCACCGAGUAAGCCUCGUGCUAAAGAGCAAUGGCGACGACAUCCCAUGAUGGGAGGGUGCCUCACUAGUCACUCAAAUCUCUGAGCCAAUUAAUAAUAUUAAUGGGUGGACACUGACAUAGCCACUUAACAUUUAACCCAAUUAAUGAUGUUUAUUUGUUAUCUGAUAUUCAAUGAUGAUGUCAUUUUGCAUAUAAAAAGGCC